Molecule: ribosomal RNA, 847 nt
Filed under: uncultured Corynebacterium sp.
Lineage: Bacteria; Bacillati; Actinomycetota; Actinomycetes; Mycobacteriales; Corynebacteriaceae
Description: bacterial SSU rRNA
Rfam family: Bacterial small subunit ribosomal RNA
Source: RNAcentral
UACUGGGCGUAAAGGGCUCGUAGGUGGUUUGUCGCGUCGUCUGUGGAAUUCCGGGGCUUAACUUCGGAUGUGCAGGCGAUACGGGCAAUACUUGAGUGCUGUAGGGGAGACUGGAAUUCCUGGUGUAGCGGUGAAAUGCGCAGAUAUCAGGAGGAACACCGAUGGCGAAGGCAGGUCUCUGGGCAGUGACUGACGCUGAGGAGCGAAAGCAUGGGUAGCGAACAGGAUUAGAUACCCUGGUAGUCCAUGCUGUAAACGGUGGGCGCUAGGUGUGAGGGGCUUUCACGUUUCUCGUGCCGUAGCUAACGCAUUAAGCGCCCCGCCUGGGGAGUACGGCCGCAAGGCUAAAACUCAAAGGAAUUGACGGGGGCCCGCACAAGCGGCGGAGCAUGUGGAUUAAUUCGAUGCAACGCGAAGAACCUUACCUGGGCUUGACAUGCACUGGAUCGCUGCAGAGAUGUAGUUUCUCUUUGGAGUCGGUGUACAGGUGGUGCAUGGUUGUCGUCAGCUCGUGUCGUGAGAUGUUGGGUUAAGUCCCGCAACGAGCGCAACCCUUGUCUUAUGUUGCCAGCAUUUGGUUGGGGACUCAUGAGAGACUGCCGGGGUUAACUCGGAGGAAGGUGGGGAUGACGUCAAAUCAUCAUGCCCCUUAUGUCCAGGGCUUCACACAUGCUACAAUGGUCGGUACAACGGGUGGCGAUGCCGUGAGGUUGAGCUAAUCCUUUUAAAGUCGGCCUUAGUUCGGAUUGGGGUCUGCAACUCGAGCCCAUGAAGUCGGAGUCGCUAGUAAUCGUAGAUCAGCAAUGCUGCGGUGAAUACGUUCCCGGGCCUUGCACACACCGCCCGU